RNAcentral lists this ribosomal RNA (94 nucleotides) under Escherichia coli. RNAcentral describes it as "partial 16S ribosomal RNA". It matches the Rfam family "Bacterial small subunit ribosomal RNA", at positions 1 to 88 of the family's 1533-position model. RNAcentral also lists the same sequence under 34 other names. Lineage: Bacteria; Pseudomonadati; Pseudomonadota; Gammaproteobacteria; Enterobacterales; Enterobacteriaceae. The record is from RNAcentral.
UUAAAUUGAAGAGUUUGAUCAUGGCUCAGAUUGAACGCUGGCGGCAGGCCUAACACAUGCAAGUCGAACGGUAACAGGAAACAGCUUGCUGUUU